CUACGGGGUGCAGCAGUGAGGAAUAUUGCACAAUGGGGGGAACCCUGAUGCAGCAACGCCGCGUGGAGGAUGACGCAUUUCGGUGUGUAAACUCCUUUUAUAUGUCAAGAAAAUGACGGUAGCAUAUGAACAAGCACCGGCUAACUCCGUGCCAGCAGCCGCGGUAAUACGGAGGGUGCAAGCGGUACUCGGAAUCACUGGGCGUAAAGGACGCGUAGGCGGGUUGGAAAGUCAGGUGUGAAAUCCUACAGCUUAACUGUAGAACUGCACUUGAAACUUCUAAUCUAGAGUAUGGGAGGGGGAGAUGGAAUUAGUGGUGUAGGGGCAAAAUCCGUAGAUAUCACUAGGAAUACCUAAAGCGAAGGCGAUCUCCUGGAACAUUACUGACGCUAAGGCGUGAAAGCGUGGGGAGCAAACAGGAUUAGAUACCCCAGUAGUC
RNAcentral lists this ribosomal RNA (439 nucleotides) under uncultured bacterium. RNAcentral's name for it is "partial 16S ribosomal RNA". It matches the Rfam family "Bacterial small subunit ribosomal RNA", at positions 339 to 795 of the family's 1533-position model. The record is from RNAcentral.